Long non-coding RNA from Zophobas morio, 841 nucleotides. RefSeq lists it as uncharacterized. NCBI's taxonomy places the organism in Eukaryota, Metazoa, Arthropoda, Insecta, Coleoptera, Tenebrionidae. The record is from RefSeq and is a predicted model, not a curated record. The transcript has 4 exons.
GACACUGUAAAAAAGCAAGGUAGUCAUUAGAGAUGCUUCGCUUCGUAAAUGUUUAAACAUCUUAACGAUAAUUGGGUAUCACCCGAGAUUUUACUACGAGUGGGCGUACAUUGUAAGUUAAUGUAUUAGGUAAGUUCUGAAAUUUAUUGCAGCCUUGGAUGUUGGAUGAGUCACUUGAGUUUUAUUACAUCCUCUAUCAAGUGGAAUUACGGCAACAAAUUUAUACUUUAUCGAGCUUUUAAUUUUAUGGCUGGAGAUAGUGUCUGAUGGUUAGCCAGUGGAAAAAUUGAAGGGUGAAUGAAAUUAACUUGCGAAUCGUUGCGAAAGCAGCAGGUCCUUCGAGAGCUGUACUAUUUCUUGACACUUAAAUUGCACGAACUACAGCAAGAACAAAAGUUUAGUUGUUGAAACCAAUAACAAUUAGUCAUUGUUCAUGUAGUACUAGUUUUCUAUGAAACCGAGACCAGUUUUGGCCAAAACAACAGCGAGAAACAAAUACCGCACACACUUAAGCUUUCGUAUCCAUUAGUCUCUUGUACAUUCAACUUAAAAGAUACUUAAUGUUCCACUUUCACCACUUAAUUUUGGAAGGAACUUUACCACCUACUUUUCUAAAUGGUAUUUGAGGAACUACACGAGCAUGUCGAAAUUGUUAAAGGUGUAGAUGUCCCAACCCUAUAGAUCUUUUGCAGCGACAAUUUUUUUGAAGACUUUUUAUGUCAGUAUUUAUAUAACUGAACUAACUACAUGUCGUUAAAUGUUAAUCAAAUUCACAACAGCUCAUUCAGCGAGAUUAUGUAUCAUUACAUAAAAAAUUUAUAUUCUUUUAGUUGAUUCUUUC